Molecule: ribosomal RNA, 253 nt
Filed under: uncultured bacterium
Lineage: Bacteria
Description: partial 16S ribosomal RNA
Rfam family: Bacterial small subunit ribosomal RNA
Source: RNAcentral
UACGUAGGGGGCGAGCGUUGUCCGGAGUUACUGGGCGUAAAGGGCAUGCAGGCGGUCGGACGCGUUUCGGGUGUCAGCGGGUGGCUUAACUACCCGAGUGGUCGAAAGACGGUUUGACUUGAGGACGCGAGAGGGACACGGAAUUCCGGGUGGAGUGGUGAAAUGCGUAGAGAUCCGGAGGAACACCGAAGGCGAAGGCAGUGUCCUGGCGCGUAACUGACGCUGAGGUGCGAAAGCCAGGGGAGCGAACGGG